Molecule: long non-coding RNA, 1373 nt
Filed under: Salmo trutta (river trout)
Lineage: Eukaryota; Metazoa; Chordata; Actinopteri; Salmoniformes; Salmonidae
Description: lncRNA (ENSSTUG00000049998.1)
Source: RNAcentral
UGUGAUUCCAACGUAGGCAAAAUAAUACCAGAAUCUGGCCAACGAGCGAACGGAGGUGUGUCAUGGGCGGGGUUCGCGUUGGAAAAGUCGAUGGGGAUACUGUAUCAAUGUGAGCAGUGCUUCAAGAUAGAAAAUAAUGACAACACGUUCAUAGAAACAGUUGACAACCCAGUUAUUGAAAACAUAAUCUAGCUGAAUGGGUCCCCAAGGGAGGAGAGAAAACAUAUUUUGAGAGUCCCUGGGAUAUUACUGCACCUCAGCAACGUCGUCAACAAAGCUUUGCUACACCUUCUCUCCUUCAUUGCAGAGUGGCUGAUGUCUAGAGAGGCCCUCCAUGUUACGUCUGGAGCCCAUGCAAAUGCUCUAGCCUUGAAUGACCUGUACCAGUGCCUUUCCCCUUCUCAACAUCAGCCACUCCUGCCUCAUCAUAGACAAUGGGAUGUCCUAAAAUGAGUAAAAUAAUUUCUCCUCUGAACGACUCUCACAUCUGCAGUGAAAACCUUGAGUGGACCGAGGGAAGCUCAGAGGAGGAUACAUGUACAAGGCACGUGUUGAUUUUCAGGAAAUCCACAGGAGACCAUGAAGAGACAUGAGUAGAGGACAUUUUUAUACCCUGUCCUGGGUUCGUCCAUGGUGCCAUCCAGUUGCACCCUACCCGCUUUUCCUGCAGUGAGCUCUGGGGUGAGGGGCGUACUUCUCCCACCAGGAAAUUAGUAGCUGUGUGGCUCCUGAAGGCCCAUGCCUUGAUGCAGUGAUCUCUACUUCUCUCCUCCUCAGUGUGCCAGCAGAGGGACAAGCUGCAUCUGUGCCUUUUUCUUCCCUCGUCUCUCUCACUUUCUCCCUGCCUCUCUUGCUCUCUCCAAUCCCAUGUCAGUCAGUCAGGGGAGGGAUCCAAGUUGUGCUUCCUGGAAGAGCUUCUCUCUUAAAGGGGCACAACAGAGUCCUGUAUAUCAUGGUUCCAUAUGAGAGGAGUCGUUAAACUUGCUCGCUUGGUGACUCAACAUAAGCAGCAGUCAUAAUCGGAUGGGAUACUUUCUCAUGCAGCAACUGGACCACAGGCUAAGUGGAUGCAUUUUCCCCCUAUUAGUCUAUGAGGAGGACCCUGUGUCCUCUUAUUGGAUGACAACAAGGAAGUGGAAGAUGGCCACGAAUUGGCUUUAGAGGCAUUGUUUUUUUGUUUUAUGGGAGAGAUCUUUUAAAAUGUAGCCUGAUUGAGGAAGACAGUUACUAUUUUAACCCAGAUAUUGUUUUCCUAGUUCUGCGUACAGUUAGAUACUUUUAUCCUCUUUCACUCUCCAAUUCUGCAUAACCAACACAGUAACUCAUUCCUUGAAACACACACUCACUUAAACAGUGAAGAUGACACUCAUCUC